RNAcentral lists this small nuclear RNA (20 nucleotides) under Arabidopsis thaliana (thale cress). Its description in RNAcentral is "snRNA_15614". Lineage: Eukaryota; Viridiplantae; Streptophyta; Magnoliopsida; Brassicales; Brassicaceae. The record is from RNAcentral.
UGAUUUAUCCUGAAAGAAUU